CCAUAGUUAAAUCAUAUGAAAAAUUAAUUAAAAAACUAUAAUGUUGGAGAAGAUACUCGGAGAUUCAUGAAUGAGAGCUGUUUGAGAAGAUCUGUGUCAUUCAAGCUAUUGCAAAGCUGGCGUGGUGGGAGGAGAAUUGGUGGUGUGUUUUGAUGUUGUUGGUGGUGGGGAGGAGAGAGAAGGGUGGUGGAAGGUGUAAAAGAAAUAAUCC
Molecule: long non-coding RNA, 211 nt
Filed under: Medicago truncatula (barrel medic)
Lineage: Eukaryota; Viridiplantae; Streptophyta; Magnoliopsida; Fabales; Fabaceae
Description: long non-coding RNA (MTRU_LNC000105)
Source: RNAcentral